GAUGAACGCUGGCGGCGUGCCUAAUACAUGCAAGUCGAGCGAACGGACGAGAAGCUUGCUUCUCUGAUGUUAGCGGCGGACGGGUGAGUAACACGUGGAUAACCUACCUAUAAGACUGGGAUAACUUCGGGAAACCGGAGCUAAUACCGGAUAAUAUUUUGAACCGCAUGGUUCAAAAGUGAAAGACGGUCUUGCUGUCACUUAUAGAUGGAUCCGCGCUGCAUUAGCUAGUUGGUAAGGUAACGGCUUACCAAGGCAACGAUGCAUAGCCGACCUGAGAGGGCGAUAGGCAACACGGGAGCGGAGACAGGGUCCAACCUCCACCGGGAGGCACCGGAAGGGAUUCUUCCGCAAUGGGCGAAAGCCGGACGGAGCCACGCCGCGUGAUGGAUGAAGGUCUUCGGAUCGUAAAACUCUGUUAUGGGGAAAGAACAUAUGUGUAAGAAACUGUGCACAUCUGGACGGUCCCUAAUAAGAAAGCCACGGCUAACUACGUG
This 497-nucleotide ribosomal RNA is filed under the name uncultured bacterium. RNAcentral's name for it is "partial 16S ribosomal RNA". It matches the Rfam family "Bacterial small subunit ribosomal RNA", at positions 28 to 507 of the family's 1533-position model. The record is from RNAcentral.